AUUCUUGUAGUUGAAUGAACAACGAUAGUUUUUCAAGUUAUUGGUCUUGGUUAAAAUCCAGGUGGGAAUAA
RNAcentral lists this transfer RNA (71 nucleotides) under Squalus blainville (longnose spurdog). RNAcentral describes it as "tRNA-Glu". It matches the Rfam family "tRNA". Rfam says of the family: Transfer RNA (tRNA) molecules are approximately 80 nucleotides in length. Their secondary structure includes four short double-helical elements and three loops (D, anti-codon, and T loops). Further hydrogen bonds mediate the characteristic L-shaped molecular structure. tRNAs have two regions of fundamental functional importance: the anti-codon, which is responsible for specific mRNA codon recognition, and the 3' end, to which the tRNAs corresponding amino acid is attached (by aminoacyl-tRNA synthetases). tRNAs cope with the degeneracy of the genetic code in two manners: having more than one tRNA (with a specific anti-codon) for a particular amino acid; and 'wobble' base-pairing, i.e. permitting non-standard base-pairing at the 3rd anti-codon position. Lineage: Eukaryota; Metazoa; Chordata; Chondrichthyes; Squaliformes; Squalidae. The record is from RNAcentral.